Ostrea edulis (European flat oyster) is the source of this 5376-nucleotide long non-coding RNA. RefSeq lists it as uncharacterized. The transcript is spliced from 3 exons. The record is from RefSeq and is a predicted model, not a curated record. NCBI's taxonomy places the organism in Eukaryota, Metazoa, Mollusca, Bivalvia, Ostreida, Ostreidae.
UUUUUUGUUGUUGUUUUUUUUGUGUUUUUUUUUAAUAUAGUGUUUAGUGAUUUCUCUUGAUCCCGCAGAAGCAAAGACAAGCGUGUUCAAACUACUGCACGUUACAAAAUGGUGACAUUGCAGUGACUGGUGUUUGGCUGUCCAGAGGCUUGCUUCAGGAAGAGUGUGUUUGGAAGUUUGGGACUGUGUGUCCUUAUACGCACGUGAUUUCGUCCUAGGGCGACGACGGUUGUCGUCGUGAACGGCAGAUGCUUUUGCUGAAGAGGUGUCAAAAAUCAUAGAGAAGACCCAAGCUAAGCUUCGGGACGAAGCGGGGGAUGUGUAGCAGACAGUAUGUAGGGAAUUUUUUACUGCAUUGUAUUCAGUGGAAAUUACAUGUCAACGUUAAUAAUACAAAAAUUAUGGUUUUUUCCAAAGGUCGACCUCCAAAUAAUACAUUUUACUUUAAUAACAAAGUUAUUGAAAUUGUGAAAGAAUUCAAAUAUUUGGGUAUAUCUUUUUCCAGAUCAGGAUCCGUUUAACAAGGCAAAAAAACAUUUAUGUGAGCAAGCCCAAAAAGCCAUGUAUGGGGUUAUACGAAAAAUUAGACAAUAUAAUCUAUCAGUUGAAUGUGAACUUGAUUUGUUCGAUAAAGUUGUUGCACCUGUACUUUUGUAUGGUUGUGAGAUUUGGGGGUUCGAAAAUCUUGACAUUAUUGAGCGAAUGCACUUAAAAUUUUUAAAAUAUAUUUUCAACUUAAAAAGUAGUACUCCAAAUUAUAUGGUCUAUGGAGAAACUGUCCGCUUUCCUUGAUAUGUAACAGUGUAUACAAGAAUGAUUUCUUACUGCGGAAGGUUAUUUUUAAAUCCAGAUAGUAAAUAUUUACUAUAAUUAUGUACAUGAUCUAUUCUGUAGAGAAAGUUAUAAGAAAUUCUUGGUUAUCUUGUAUUAAAAUUAUUUUUAAUCUUUGUGGACACUCCAAUAUAUGGAAUGAACAAGCAUUUUUUAAUACAAACUGGUUAAAAAUUACUGUUGAAUGACGUCUUAAAGAUCAGUAUAUACAGAAAUGGCAAAGUAAUAUACGGGAGUCAUCUAAGGGUGAAACGUAUGGCAUUUUCAAAAGUGAAUUUGGGUUUGAAAAAUACUUGAAUACUUUACCUAAAAAACUUCGAACAAUAUUUAUCAAAUUUAGAACUUCAAAUCACCAACUCCCAGUAGAGACUGGAAGAUGGUGUGGCACUCCUAAAGACGAAAGAACUUGCCAUAUCUGUAAUACGGGUCAGAUAGCUGACGAAUACCAUUUUAAUGUAAGUUUUUUGAAUGUUAUAGAAGAAAGUAUUUGUGUAGAAAAUAUUGUCAUAAACCGAACUCUUUCAAAUUUUCAGAGUUAAUGUCAACUUCAGACCCUAAUGUACUUAUCAAAUUGUGUAGUUUUAUAUCUAAAAUAUAUGACCAAUUCUGUACUCCUCAACUCAUUUUAUGUAUAUAAAACAACUCCCUGCUUUUUUCACGUGUACCUUGCAUAUAAUAUAUUCUAUUUGUAAAUAUUGUAUAUAUUGUACCUCAUGUACCAUAAUAUGGUGUGAGUGAAUAAAGUAAACUGAAUCGCUAGUGAGCUAGCUUUUCUAGUGAUAUGGUAGAGUCUCUCUCUAAGCAACGACGAGCUUGAUCAUAUCGCUACAUGUUACAAUAUUAUUACGGUAGGCCUGUUACCUUUCAAACCACUUGAACUUCUUUUGUUUAUCGGACAAUAAUCAAAACAUAAAAACACAAGGUCAUUGAUUCAUGCAUGCAUAUCUGGGUGUAAAAUUUCAACUCGCACAGAUACCUUGAUUCAGUGUUUAAACUUUACAAAAAGUCAUUGCAUCAUGAUAAAUCGAAAGUAAGUUUAUCACGCAGGAGUUUUGCGUUUUCUUUUAUCAUAAAAAUAUAUGAAGUUGUUAUACAGCUUUGUUCAAUCCAACACACAUAAACACUAAAUACUAGUUCCUUGUUUGACCCCAUCCUGGAGUCAGAACGUCUACCUCGGAUAUCAUGAAAUUUACAAUUUAGGUAGAGGCUUUCCCGCUCUACAUGGCCAGAUCUAUGUAUUCAGUUUUUCUUACAGACGUAAGGAAGAUUUUUUAACAUUGGUCAAAUUUUGUUCCAUUCUUAAGGCCCCGGGGGUGCAGAAGUCCUGAAAUUAAUACUUUAUUUCUUUGUCCCAAAGAUGCUUCAUACCAAAUUUGAAAAAAAAAAGGCAGUUAUCAGGAAGUUAAGAAUGAUCAAGUGUUCACGCACGGCGCAUGACGUCGACAGAUGCUGACCUAAUGCAGUAGAUUAGGUGACCUAAAAUAUUUAUGGGGAUAUUAGGUCACAUAGACUUUACUGUUUUAGAAAGUGUAAGAGUAUGGAAAUGAACCGGAACAGCUCUAUAAUGUUUCUGUAAUGUUUGGACAACUUGACCAUUUCUGUACAAUGUCAUUCCAUCGGUUCAUCACUUAUUUGUGUAUACAGAUAUGUCACGAAAAUAUUUCCGUUUUAUAUGCUCGUGUCAAAGUCAGCAGUUGACUGAAAAAGUCGGUUCAUCUCGAAAUUGUAAGUCCAUUUAGCUGUGUAAUUCAAUUGAUUUUAAAUCAUUUCUAAAAGCUGUAUGAUCCGAUGUUUAUGUAUCAUUUUUGUACAUAAUUACUUUUUAAUUAGUGUUUAAAGUUAUUAGCUUUCCCUUUUAAAAAUACAUGCUUGAAAACAUUUGCAUGUAAAAGAAAAUAGUGAGAAGAUUACUUAGAAAGUAAAUAUAGUGUGGUACGUAUAAAUCAAAUUAUACAGUGUUAAAUUAGGUGUCUCAGACGCAACUGUCUAAUUUUAAGGCUGAAAGAGUGUAAAACAACGAAUUACUAAGACGUACUUGAUAUUUUUAUUUCUAUUAAACUUAUGGCACUGUAUUGUUACGUAACAAAAUACACAGCUUUACACAGAUAAGACCACCGAUGAUCUGAAAUUUUUAGAACUGGUCAAGUGACUGUCACGAGUGACGCGGUUGUUUGUAAACACUGAUUUAAAAUUAAAUGAUGGCUAUAUAUUGUUAUCUGCAACGCGUUGCGUAUACGUUUUGGGGUAAUAAAAUCCCGAGUACAUUAAUUACGAUACCAAAAUAUACAUCGGGUUGACAGACGUAUCCUCUAUAUAUAUUAAUUUACUACCAUCUUUGUAUUUAAUUAUAUUUAAAUUAUUUUCAUAAAUUCUUAUACUAUCCAGCUUUUACUUGAAACAGCAAACAUAGCUAAUUGGCUUGAAAUUUAAUGAUGAUUUUUAUAUACAUAUACUCUUGCUUGCAGUAUUUUAUUUCUUCCUCUUAGUCUUAUGCCUUCGUAUCUGUAUAUUCUUGCAUGAAAGUUUUCUUUUAUUUUGUAUUCUUUUGUUAAUCUGUGAUAUGUCUGUAUAUAUGCUAUGUGUCUUUCUCCUUGAUAUACAUGAAUGUGAUCUGAUAGUCGGUUAAAAAGCUCUGCAGAGCUUGUGCUUGAUAUGUUGAAUGUAUAUAGUGCCGACUUUAAAUCAAAUUUACUUUAUAAAAGAUUAAACUGACAAUAAAUGAUUUUGGUUAAAGCAGGUGAAAUAAUGUAUGUCAUGUCAUAGUCAUACAGCCUCAUAUAACUACAUACGUGCGAUGAUUUCAUGCAUUUCCGAAUAAAAUGGCGAAUUGGUAUUCGCGAUCCCCUAGCAGUUAUGUAUUUAUAGCGGUCGGUUGGAUUUGGACUGUGCCUCUUGUGAGUGAGAGGAAUUUCGCUGAGAUUUCAAAACGGUCGACACUAUCGAUUGUAUAUAUAAAUCAAAAGUAAACAGUGAAACGAAUGAAAAUUAAUUGACUUAGACGUUUAAGUAUGUGAUUAAACAAAGUAGUAAGCAAAUAAUAACACUGGCUUACCUCAUCUCACGUCAACACAAACAAAACAUACAAAACGAAAGUAGGGGGAUAUACAGUAUACAGUGUACUUUAUGAUAAUCAAGGGCGGAUUCAGGAUUGCGGUUAUAGGGACGCACUUUUAUCAGCUGUUUAUGGGGCAGGGGGUAAGGCGGCUCCCAGUGGCGAAGGAAAUUUUUGUUUGGAAUGUAAAAUAAAAACCGGUAUACAGUAACAUUUUUGAAUCGUCGUGUGAACAAAGAGAAAAAGAAUGAGUAAUAGUUGAAAAAAUAAACGAAAAAUAUUUGUACAAAAACAAUAUGUGUUUUAGGUAACAUAAUAUAGUUUUUAAAAAAGAGCAAAGUUGACAUAAAAAAUCCAUGCACAAUUCUAAAUAAUAUUUCGGUUGAAAUGUAAGAUUGUUAUCUCCAUUCAAAGGUAAUUUUAAAUUACAUGUACUAAAACUUUUGAUUACUUUUUGUCUUGGUAAAUUGUAUUUUGGACAAUUCAUGAUGAAGUGAAAUACAGUUUCAGGAAUAUUUUCACACAUAUCACAUAUAAAAUACCUUGUAAAUUACCAGCAUUAUUUCGCAGUUGACAAAGAAGUACAUUUUCUUUACGAUUUACAUGUCCUGGGUUAAAAGGGAUUUAGUGUUUUUACAGCUAUCUUAAAUACUAAUAAUGUUGGAAGCUUAUAAAUACAAUGUACAUAUCCAAAAAUAUUUACGUGAAUAGUAGUAGUUUUUGUCUAUAUAAAUAUAAAUACAACAUGUGUUAUAUUGAUGAUAAUAGAUUAGUCGAUACGCGUGUAUCAAUGCGUGAUAUCAUUACAAAGCACAAAGUACAUGUACUGUUGAAACGCAACUAUAUGUAAAACUAUGGUGUCAUUAGACCAAGCAAACAAUUUCCCAAAGAAUAUUGCUGAUUUUAAGGUCAAGGACACAGUAAACGAGUUAGAUAUUUUGACCAACAACAUGGGCAUAGGAAAAGUUUGUAAAACUACUGUGUACGUUGAAUUUAAUGAACUAGGUGAUGUAUUUCUAAGUACCGCUGAAUCUACCUUUGGUCUAAGUGGCAGGGAAAAUAACUGUGAAAACAAGUGCAACAAACCAUGGUCACUGGUAUUAACCUGAUGAUAGUAACGAUCGUUACUAUCAUCCCAAGAUGGCGAAAGGAAAUUCCGAUUUCACAGUAGGCGUUGACACGAUAAAGAACCCCUACUGCUACAUGGUCCAGAGCGCCAAGUAAAAAUCUGUGGCCCUUCCUGUUAGUGACGUCUCUACUUAAGAAUGUAAAACUUAUACGGUACCAAUUUUGAUGCACCAGAUGCGCAUUUCGACAAAUAAUGUCUCUUCAGUGAUGCUCAACCGAAAUGUUUGAAAACCGAAAUAACAAUAAACUUGCUAGAGCUAUUUUAGGGGGAAAACAGAGUGCCAAAAAUCUAAACAAUCAUUCAAUGAUCUUCACAUUCUUAAAGACGUCAGGUUUGAAGAACCAUUAUCGUUUAUGUAAGGCAA